UGGGGAGGCAGCGGGUUUCCCAGCCCCGGUCGCUCGCGGCUGCGACGGGCGCGCGGGAGGCCAGAGCCACCGCCAGCCGGAGCGACCUGCAGGCAGGCCUCGGUGCAGACCCUCUUAACCUUCCGGGGGAUCCGUCAGUCCCAGAGGGCUUUCCUGAGCCACCCUCCUCACCAAGACGGGCAAGAAGACGGUAAAUUCUGAAGCAAAACAGCUUCUAGAAGAAAACCACUCUAUCAUCUGCCUACCUGUUUAGCCACCCAGAACAUAUCCUAAAGGGGAAAUAAUCUACUCCUACUUGGAAACAGCCUCGGGAACAGCAUCCGUUUCUGAGAUUCCCCGGAAAAAUUCCCCCAGCGCGGGCUGCUCCACAUUUACGUCCGUAGACGCGUAGCGGUUGCUCUUCCACACCUAUUGGAUAAAGGGCAGCUGUAAAGAACCAAAAACAGUCGUCAGAAAAAUAAUGCCGAGGGGGGAAAGGGGGCCUGAAAAUCGAAUUGCAGAGGCAGCAGGCAGAGCGACCAGAUGCGCCUGCACACAGCCCCAGCAACCCGGAGUCUCUCCGGGCUUUUUCGAGACCGCAUCCAGUCCAAAUACGCAGCGUCCUGGGCUGGAAGAAAAAGACGCGUCUUACGAAAGAAGCUAGACUUCUGUAACGUGAAGGUGAAAUCGGCAAAGAAAAUCCUCCUACCUGAGAUUGUGACCCUACGCCCAGGCAGGACUGUAAAUCCACGCUAUGUGCCUGUGACUGAUUUGGGAUUUGGAUUUCUGAUUUGGCUGAGAGAUGUGCAAAAACCUCAAGUAGUCAACAGCUCCCUACUGGCUAUGCAUCUGAGGGGCUCAAGAACAUUGUUUAUUCCAGCAAGUGUCUGGAAUACAUUAUACUCGAUAAAUUGGCUCCUGCUACUCCCGUUUUGGAGAAUAUGAAGAAUUUGUAUACUGUGCUGAAAUAAAUGUACUUUGCCCAAAUAACAAUUUUCCUUAAAAGAAAAUUCUAAAUAUGACUCUAUCGUCUGAAUCUAGGAUUUCCAAUAUUUUAAACACUUGGCAUUUCUGAAAGAGUAAUAAUGAACUAAUUCUCCACACCGUCAAACUCAGAAACUGGUUCAAAAUUUAGAUCUGUUUUUAUCCAGGGGCCAUAUGAAUCGAGGUGUCCAGAAG
Bos taurus (domestic cattle) is the source of this 1158-nucleotide long non-coding RNA. NCBI's taxonomy places the organism in Eukaryota, Metazoa, Chordata, Mammalia, Artiodactyla, Bovidae. The record is from Ensembl.